UACAGAGACUGCAAGCGUUGUUCGGAUUCACUGGGCUUAAAGGGCGCGUAGGCGGCUUGCCAAGUCAGGGGUGAAAUCUUUCGGCUCAACCGGAAAACGGCCCCUGAUACUGGCGGGCUUGAGGGAGGUAGGGGCGGAUGGAACUUCCGGUGGAGCGGUGAAAUGCGUAGAUAUCGGAAGGAACGCCGGUGGCGAAAGCGAUCCGCUGGACCUCCUCUGACGCUGAGGCGCGAAAGCCAGGGGAGCAAGCGGG
Molecule: ribosomal RNA, 253 nt
Filed under: uncultured bacterium
Lineage: Bacteria
Description: partial 16S ribosomal RNA
Rfam family: Bacterial small subunit ribosomal RNA
Source: RNAcentral